GGCAAAAUGGUGCCGUAACUUCGGGAGAAGGCACGCUGACACGUAGGUGAAGUGAUUUACUCAUGGAGCUGAAGUCAGUCGAAGAUACCAGCUGGCUGCAACUGUUUAUUAAAAACACAGCACUGUGCAAACACGAAAGUGGACGUAUACGGUGUGACGCCUGCCCGGUGCCGGAAGGUUAAUUGAUGGGGUCAGCGCAAGCGAAGCUCCUGAUCGAAGCCCCGGUAAACGGCGGCCGUAACUAUAACGGUCCUAAGGUAGCGAAAUUCCUUGUCGGGUAAGUUCCGACCUGCACGAAUGGCGUAAUGAUGGCCAGGCUGUCUCCACCCGAGACUCAGUGAAAUUGAACUCGCUGUGAAGAUGCAGUGUACCCGCGGCAAGACGGAAAGACCCCGUGAACCUUUACUAUAGCUUGACACUGAACAUUGAGCCUUGAUGUGUAGGAUAGGUGGGAGGCUUUGAAGUGUGGACGCCAGUCUGCAUGGAGCCGACCUUGAAAUACCACCCUUUAAUGUUUGAUGUUCUAACGUGGACCCGUGAUCCGGGUUGCGGACAGUGUCUGGUGGGUAGUUUGACUGGGGCGGUCUCCUCCUAAAGAGUAACGGAGGAGCACGAAGGUUGGCUAAUCCUGGUCGGACAUCAGGAGGUUAGUGCAAUGGCAUAAGCCAGCUUGACUGCGAGCGUGACGGCGCGAGCAGGUGCGAAAGCAGGUCAUAGUGAUCCGGUGGUUCUGAAUGGAAGGGCCAUCGCUCAACGGAUAAAAGGUACUCCGGGGAUAACAGGCUGAUACCGCCCAAGAGUUCAUAUCGACGGCGGUGUUUGGCACCUCGAUGUCGGCUCAUCACAUCCUGGGGCUGAAGUAGGUCCCAAGGGUAUGGCUGUUCGCCAUUUAAAGUGGUACGCGAGCUGGGUUUAGAACGUCGUGAGACAGUUCGGUCCCUAUCUGCCGUGGGCGCUGGAGAACUGAGGGGGGCUGCUCCUAGUACGAGAGGACCGGAGUGGACGCAUCACUGGUGUUCGGGUUGUCAUGCCAAUGGCACUGCCCGGUAGCUAAAUGCGGAAGAGAUAAGUGCUGAAAGCAUCUAAGCACGAAACUUGCCCCGAGAUGAGUUCUCCCUGAGACUUUAGGUCUCCUGAAGGAACGUUGAAGACGACGACGUUGAUAGGCCGGGUGUGUAAGCGCAGCGAUGCGUUGAGCUAACCGGUACUAAUGAACCGUGAGGCUUAACCUUACA
RNAcentral lists this ribosomal RNA (1235 nucleotides) under Salmonella enterica. RNAcentral's name for it is "partial 23S ribosomal RNA". It matches the Rfam family "Bacterial large subunit ribosomal RNA", at positions 1716 to 2925 of the family's 2925-position model. The record is from RNAcentral. Lineage: Bacteria; Pseudomonadati; Pseudomonadota; Gammaproteobacteria; Enterobacterales; Enterobacteriaceae.